This 598-nucleotide unclassified non-coding RNA is filed under the name Hevea brasiliensis (rubber tree). Lineage: Eukaryota; Viridiplantae; Streptophyta; Magnoliopsida; Malpighiales; Euphorbiaceae. The record is from RNAcentral.
CGACCUUCAACCUCAAGCUCGCCGCUCUUGGUACUACAAUUUGCAUUAUCAAUUUCUGUUGUUCUCAAUUGUGGCUCCAGCUGAUUUUUCUAACAUGGUGGCUAGUGGAGGGAAAUGAGAAAGGGGAAUACACCUAUAAAUGACGGUGGCCACUGGACUUGCUGGCUUUAUGGUUUGACUUUGCCCUCACGUAGCCCUUGGAGCUUUGGCCUCAUCGGUAUCCGUUCUAUACUUUGAUGAUAUCACCAUGAAGCUAGUGAGAUUUGCUAUGAGACAAUACAAAAGUCAUGGAUGGAAAUCGAUGAAAUUGCUUCUAAAUCAAAUGACCCUUCAAUCCUCAGCAAGAAAUUCAUGAAUUGCAAUCCCUGGAAGGAUUCUAUUGAGCCCAAAAAUUACUUGGAUGCAACUCAAAAAUUACUUGGAUGCAAUGUUUUGUGUUGCUGCUCAGUACAAUGAACCUCUGGACAGCCCUUUGACUGCUCCUUGCAACAUUCAAUGCUUGCACUAUUAUCAAUAGAUUUACUAGGAUUGCAGACGAAAUUUUUGGCAUGUUGAUUGCUGUUUAAUUCAUUCAAGAGGCUGUUAAAGUAAGUCAAAC